Molecule: long non-coding RNA, 1212 nt
Filed under: Anolis carolinensis (green anole)
Lineage: Eukaryota; Metazoa; Chordata; Lepidosauria; Squamata; Anolidae
Description: lncRNA (ENSACAG00000028566.2)
Source: RNAcentral
AUGCCUUUCAUCAUCGAGACCUUUAGAGUUGCAGAACCUCAGCUGAUCAUAGUUGCCAUGUCCUGCGUCCAAACAGAUGUGCCAUUGGCUGAUGUCCAGGCCACAUCCAAGUAUGAAUGGGUUUCUGAAAUAAAAUGUCAUGUGUCCCUUACUGAUAACCUUCUGUCUACUGCUUUGUCAGACUAUGCGUUCGUUCACAUGGACAAUGAGGAGGAUGGUAAAGCGGCCAUUGAACACCUUAAUGGGACGGAACUCUACGGGAGCAGCAUUACUGUACAACGCUCUGUGAAAGACCAUAAGCAUUAUGUAAACCGUGAGCAGCAUUCUGAACAGGAAACUCUAGAUGAAAGGGACACAUUUGCAGAUCCACAUUAUGAAGAACCACCUGUGUCGUAUGAUCAGGACUAUCGAUUCCAGUCUGGGCAGGCAGCAGCAUACCGAAAUGGGGAUGAGUUGGAAGACAACAGCUAUGCAGAGGCCUACUCUGCCCAGUCUCAUUCCUAUGGAAGCAAGUCCUAUGACAGCCACAAUGCUGAUUAUGAGAAUCGGGCUGCUUAUGAUGUGGGGGAUGACGCGACUGCUUCCUACUCUACACAGUACUCUGAUUCCCAAUCCACACAUGACAGAGCAUCAGUGGAUGUAGCAUACCAAUCCGUUUCUGAUCGGUUAGCAUUAGGUCACAGGAAAACCUCUUCCCGCCAUUCACUGUAUGAGCGCGUCCGUCUAUCCCCACCGAGUAGCAGCUAUGAGGACGAGCGUGCAGGCGGUAAAAGCUAUACGAGACAAGCGGAUGAUAGUUACUGCCCGCCGUACAAGUACGUUUGUCGCUCCCCACCACACAGCAGCCGCGACGAUUUCGACAGAAGGGGAAACAGAUCAAGUAGCAGGUAUACAGGAAGAUCAGAAAGUGCUUCUCGCUAUACAUCAAGAUCAGAAAGCGCUUCUCGCUAUAGAUCGGAAAGCUCGUCUCGCUAUAGAUCGGAAAGCUCUUCUCGAUAUAGAUCGGAAAGCUCUUCUCGCUAUACCGGAAAAUCGGAAAGCUCUUCUCGCUAUACAGGAAGAUCGGAAAGCUCUUCUCGCUAUACAGGAAGAUCAGAGAGUGCUUCUCGCCAUACAGGAAGAUCGGAAAGUUCUUCUCACCGUCGACCGUAUGAACGCAAUUAUCUUUCUCCGCCACAUAGGAGUCGUGAAAACCAUAGGAGCCACCGUUAA